RNAcentral lists this ribosomal RNA (505 nucleotides) under uncultured Sphingobacteriales bacterium. RNAcentral describes it as "bacterial SSU rRNA". It matches the Rfam family "Bacterial small subunit ribosomal RNA", at positions 903 to 1382 of the family's 1533-position model. The record is from RNAcentral. Lineage: Bacteria; Pseudomonadati; Bacteroidota; Sphingobacteriia; Sphingobacteriales.
CGCCUUGCCAGCCCGCUCAGAAACUUAAAGGAAUUGACGGGGCCCGGCACAAGCGGAGGAGCAUGUGGUUUAAUUCGAUGAUACGCGAGGAACCCUACCUGGGCUCGAACGUAAGAUGACUGUAGGUGAAAGCUUACAUCUCUUCGGAGCAUUUUACGAGGUGCUGCAUGGUUGUCGUCAGCUCGUGCCGUGAGGUGUCGGGUUAAGUCCCAUAACGAGCGCAACCCCUACCUUUAGUUGCCAUCAGGUUAAGCUGGGGACUCUAAAGGAACUGCCUACGCAAGUAGUGAGGAAGGCGGGGAUGACGUCAAAUCAGCACGGCCCUUACGUCCAGGGCUACACACGUGCUACAAUGGCCGAUACAGAGGGCAGCUACCUGGUGACAGGAUGCAAAUCUCCAAAGUCGGUCUCAGUUCGGAUCGGAGUCUGCAACCCGACUCCGUGAAGUUGGAUUCGCUAGUAAUCGCGCAUCAGCCAUGGCGCGGUGAAUACGUUCCCGGGCCUU